UUUCUUACUAAUUUAAUUAAAAUAAUGUUUUUUCGCAACAUAAAUCCAUUUAGGGUAAGAAAU
This 63-nucleotide transfer RNA is filed under the name Laemobothrion maximum. RNAcentral describes it as "tRNA-Glu". The record is from RNAcentral. Lineage: Eukaryota; Metazoa; Arthropoda; Insecta; Psocodea; Laemobothriidae.